GGUGAGAAUCCUGUCCGCCGCAAGACUAAGGUUUCCUGGGGCAGGCUCGUCCGCCCAGGGUAAGUCGGGACCUAAGGCGAGGCCGAGAGGCGUAGUCGAUGGACAACAGGUUGAAAUUCCUGUACUGCACCGAAUCGUUAUGAGCGAUGGAGGGACGCAGGAGGCUAGCAGCGCGUGGUGCUGGAUACCACGUUCAAGCGUCAAGUCUGAGAGCGAGUCAAAUGCUUGCUUUCAUAAAGGACAAGGCGUGAUGAGGAGCGAAAUUAAAGUAGCGAAGGCUGCGACGUCACACUGCCGAGAAAAGCUUCUAGCC
Molecule: ribosomal RNA, 313 nt
Filed under: Flagellimonas olearia
Lineage: Bacteria; Pseudomonadati; Bacteroidota; Flavobacteriia; Flavobacteriales; Flavobacteriaceae
Description: Muricauda olearia partial 23S ribosomal RNA
Rfam family: Bacterial large subunit ribosomal RNA
Source: RNAcentral